AGGGUUGUUGUUCAGUGAUAGAGCACUUACCUCAAAUGUAUGAAGCACUGAGUUCAAUUCUCAGCACCACAU
RNAcentral lists this transfer RNA (72 nucleotides) under Urocitellus parryii (Arctic ground squirrel). Its description in RNAcentral is "Spermophilus parryii (Arctic ground squirrel) tRNA". It matches the Rfam family "tRNA". Rfam says of the family: Transfer RNA (tRNA) molecules are approximately 80 nucleotides in length. Their secondary structure includes four short double-helical elements and three loops (D, anti-codon, and T loops). Lineage: Eukaryota; Metazoa; Chordata; Mammalia; Rodentia; Sciuridae. The record is from Rfam by way of RNAcentral. RNAcentral also lists the same sequence under 2 other names.